Molecule: ribosomal RNA, 428 nt
Filed under: uncultured bacterium
Lineage: Bacteria
Description: bacterial SSU rRNA
Rfam family: Bacterial small subunit ribosomal RNA
Source: RNAcentral
GGGAAUAUUGGACAAUGGGCGAAAGCCUGAUCCAGCCAUGCCGCGUGUGUGAAGAAGGUCUUCGGAUUGUAAAGCACUUUAAGUUGGGAGGAAGGGCCGUUACCUAAUACGUGAUGGUUUUGACGUUACCGACAGAAUAAGCACCGGCUAACUCUGUGCCAGCAGCCGCGGUAAUACAGAGGGUGCAAGCGUUAAUCGGAAUUACUGGGCGUAAAGCGCGCGUAGGUGGUUUGUUAAGUUGGAUGUGAAAUCCCCGGGCUCAACCUGGGAACUGCAUUCAAAACUGACUGACUAGAGUAUGGUAGAGGGUGGUGGAAUUUCCUGUGUAGCGGUGAAAUGCGUAGAUAUAGGAAGGAACACCAGUGGCGAAGGCGACCACCUGGACUGAUACUGACACUGAGGUGCGAAAGCGUGGGGAGCAAACAGGA